AGGAGACAGACACAGAGGAGAAGGCCACAUGGAGACGGAGGCAGAGACUGGAGUGAUGCGGCCUCAAGCCCAGGGACGCCUGGAGCCCCCAGGAGCUGGGAGAGGCAGGAAGGAUCCUCCCCUAGAGUCUCAAGAAGGAACCAGACACAACUGCAGUGGGUUGGAUGUUGACGUCCAAAAGAUCUGUCCAUGUCCUAAGCCCCAGAACCUCGGAAUCGGACCUCAUUUGGAUAAAGUUUCUUUGCAUAUGUAAUUAAGGAUCUGGAGAUGGGAUCAUCCUGGAGUAGGAUGGACCCUAAAUGCAAUGACAGGUGUCCUUCUAAGAGACAGAAGGGGAGACACAGACACAGAGGAGGAGGCCACGUGGAGAUGGAGGCGGAGACUGGAGUGAUGUGGUCAGAAGCCCAGGGACGCCUGGAGCCCCCAGGAGCUGGGAGAGGCGGGAAGGAUCCUCCCCUAGAGCCCCCAGAUGGAACACAGCCCUGAGAUGCCUUGAUCUCAGACUUCCGGUCUGCAGGACAGGGAGAGGAUAAAUAGCAAGCUAUCUGGCAAAUCAGAAGCACAGCUAUCAUGAUGUCCUGCAGGAGGAGCUGUAGGGUGGUUAUGUUUUGUUUUUUUAAAAACUAGAAAAGCAUCCGGGAACCUCCGGGGGAGGGGUGUGGAGGUCCCCAGCACCUGCGCCCACAGGCCUGGCCGCUGUCGGAUGGUGCUGAGUUACAGCACGUCAGGUGUCUCUUUUUUUAUUUUUAUUUAUUUUGAGAUGGAGUUUUGCUGUGUUGCCCAGGCUGGAGUGCAGUGGCGUGAUCUCGGCUCACGGCAAGCUCCGCCUCCCGGGUUCAAGCGAUUCUCCUGCCUCAGCCUCCCAAAUAGGUGGGAUUACAGGCACCCGCCACCAUGCCCGGCUAAUUUCUGUAAUUUUAGUAGAGACGGGGUUUCACCAUGUUGCUCAGGCUGGUCUCAAACUCCUGACCUCAGGUGAUCCACCCACCUCAGCCUCCCAGAGGGCUGGGAUUCCAGGCAUGAGCCUGGGCACGUGGCCCAGGCGUCUCCUGUCAAUCCGUCCUGGCCUCAGCAGCUGCCACCUGGAAGUUCUCCUUCAAGUCUAACCUAAGGCCGCCCUGUGAUGGCUCUUGGGUCAGUUCCUUCCAUGACCUCGGCACCGUGGAUGCCCAUGAAUGCUGAUCUCGGCUGUUCCCCAUCUCCACUCCCCUCCCGUCUCGGCUACUUGCACCGAUGAUAACUUCACACAGCCGUCCCCCUGUUUAUUUUUAUUUAUCAUUAUUACUAUCAUUGUCUUUUUUUUUUUUGAGAUGGAGUUUCGCUCUUUUCCCGCAGGCUGGAGAGCAAUGGUGAGAUCUCAGCUCACUGCAACCUCUGCCUCCCAGGUUCAAGCGAUUUUCCUGCCUCAGCCUCCUGAGUAGCUGGGAUUACAGGUGCCCACCACCACGCCUGGCUCAUUUUUGUAUUUUUAGUAGAGAUGGGGUUUCGCCGUGUUGGCCAGGCUGGUAUCAAACUCCUGACCUCAGGUGAUCCGCCAGCCUCAGCCUCCCAAAGUGCUGGGAUUACAGGUUCCCACCACCACACCUGGCUCAUUUUUGUAUUUUUAGUAGAGAUGGGGUUUCGCCGUGUUGGCCAGGCUGGUAUCAAACUCCUGACCUCAGGUGAUCCGCCAGCCUCAGCCUCCCAAAGUGCUGGGAUUACAGGCGUGAGCUACUGUGCCCAGCCUUGUCCACCUGUUUGGAGAUGCCCUCGUGUCUGUGUGGACCUGCAGAGAGACACUCACAGGCAGACCCACGGACGCAGACACAGACACACAGGCACACACACACACAUACCCAUCCAGAUGCACAGACAUGCAGACACAAAGGCACACAUGCAAGCACACACCACAAGACAUGCACACACGGACACAUGCAUGGACACACAGAUACACUGACAGGUACACACAUGGACACAGAGAUACACCAACAAGACAGGCACACACAGAGACGGACACAGAGAUACAGUGACAGGCACACGUGCGCACAGAGACACAGACAUGCACAGAUGGGCACACUCACGCACGGACACACAGUGAUACACCAACAGGCGCACACAGACGCAGACAUGCACAGAUGGGCACACACACACGGACAUACAGAUACACCAACAGACAGGCACACACACAGACGCAGACCUGCACAGAUGGCACACACACGCAUGGACACAGAGAUUCACCAACAGGCACACGCACACAGACGCAGACAUGCACAGAUGGGCACACACAUGCACGGACACACAGAGAUACACCAACAGACAGGCACACAGACGCACACACACAGACAUACACACAUAUACCCACAUAGACGCACAGAAACACACAUACCCUCACAGACACAUAUGCAAGCACACACCACAGAGUUGCACACACACAAACGCAGAUGCAGACACACACAUUCUUACGCACACACAAGGACAUACCAGUCAUGCACACACAGACACAUGCACACACAGACGCACACACAAGCACAGCAGUGACAUGCACACACACCAUGCACACACAUGCACACACACAGACAUGUACACAUAUAUCCACACAGACACACAUACUACCCUCAGACACAUACAUACCACAGAGGUGCACACACACACACGGACUCAGACACACGUAGACAUUCUGACGUACAGACACGCAUGCAAGGACAUACCACACAGACACGUGCACACACAGACUCAGAAACACACAGAGACACACAAGCACAGCAGACGAUCACAUAUCCACACAGACACACACCAUGCACGUAGAUGCAGACACACAGACAAACACACACAGACACAUGCACACAGACACACAACCACAGCAGUCACAUAUGCACACAACCACUGGCACACAGCAUACACACAGAUGCAGACACAGGCACACAGAGAUGCACACACACAGACAUAUACCUUCACAGAAACAUAUGCAACCACACACCACAGAGACGUUCACACACAUGCACACAGACACCCAGAGACAGUUUCACGCAGAGACACACACACGGACAUACUACACACAGACAUUUGCACACACAGAGACAGACACACAAGCACAGCAGUCACAUAUGCACACAACAUACACAUAGACACAGCAUGCACACAGAUGCAGACAUGUACACACAGACACAUGCACACAGGGACACACACAACCACAGCAGUCACAUA
This is a long non-coding RNA of Pan troglodytes (chimpanzee), 3183 nucleotides long. RefSeq lists it as uncharacterized. The transcript has 2 exons. The record is from RefSeq and is a predicted model, not a curated record. NCBI's taxonomy places the organism in Eukaryota, Metazoa, Chordata, Mammalia, Primates, Hominidae.